Long non-coding RNA from Ornithodoros turicata, 133 nucleotides. RefSeq lists it as uncharacterized. The record is from RefSeq and is a predicted model, not a curated record. The transcript is spliced from 3 exons. Lineage: Eukaryota; Metazoa; Arthropoda; Arachnida; Ixodida; Argasidae.
GCCUAAGUAGUGCUGGCUGUGCUGGCGCUUAUUAUGAGUGUCAUCUCCUGUGAUACACACUCAUGCCACGGCAGAAGAGGCCAAUGAAAAACAGUUCUUCAGGGCUGUUUCUGCAAAAGACACUACACAGCAG